This 643-nucleotide long non-coding RNA is filed under the name Mastacembelus armatus (zig-zag eel). Its description in RNAcentral is "lncRNA (ENSMAMG00000026400.1)". Lineage: Eukaryota; Metazoa; Chordata; Actinopteri; Synbranchiformes; Mastacembelidae. The record is from RNAcentral.
ACGGCCGUGCAGAGAGUGUGAGGGUCUGUGGGGAGAACCGGUGGGAGCAGUUCACUCUGCAGGGACCAGCUGCUGAAACUGUGACAGACUUCACGGUGCAGCUUCAAUCACACUUUCAGCGCGAUCACCCCUGAGGAGCUGGGGUCAAAGGGUGUUUGACUACCAGUGUGUCCCCUCCUCCGUCCCGGUGGAUCCCACUGCUGUGAAACGGUCCCGUCCUUCAUCCUCCUCCUCCUCUUCCUCCUCCACAGCGGCGCUGAGGGUGAAGCGCAGCAGAGCGUCCGGCAGGCGCAACAGCACGCACGGCCCGUCCUCCAGGAGCAGCCACGCCAAAUUGAAGAUGGCGGAGCUUCUUGCCAUAAAGAGGGAGCUGACGGUGAUCAAGGUUCAGAUCGACAGCCUGUUGGACUGUGUGGACAAGAUGGACAGACAGAGGAAGGACUGCUCAGAACAUGCUCUGAGCAGGGAGCCCAGUGUGUCGGACUCUCCUCACCGAGGUUCAGUCAGCAGCCUGGAGAGAGAAAGUCCUGAGCCAGGAGAGGCCAGCGAGGACGAGCCGCUGCACUACCAGCACUACUACCCCCACAGCUACCCCCACAGGCAGAUAAAGCAGCAUCAGUCUGAUCUGGAGGACGACCUGUGA